Anneissia japonica is the source of this 1157-nucleotide long non-coding RNA. RefSeq lists it as uncharacterized. NCBI's taxonomy places the organism in Eukaryota, Metazoa, Echinodermata, Crinoidea, Comatulida, Comatulidae. The transcript is spliced from 5 exons. The record is from RefSeq and is a predicted model, not a curated record.
CUAAAAUGAACUAAGGUGAAACAUUGAUAUAUAUAAGGUUCACAUAAGAUGCCACUGGAUAGCCAACCGUUAUGUAGAAGAGGAACAACAUUAUUAUCUGGACUGCAUUAUGGAUCUUGAGUCUGAAAUAAACUAAGAAGAUACAUAAGGAAAUGGACUACGUAUCUUGAAUCUGAAAUAAUCUAAGGUGAUAUAUAAGGAUCAUAUAAAAUGCCACUGGAUAGUCAACCGCGAUUUAGCAGAGGAGCAACAUUAUUAUCUGUAACUGAGAAACAAAUCAAGGGUGGGUUGUGCCACGGCGGAUAGCCUCUCCCACUCACCAUAAAAAAGGGAAAAAGAGAAACGAAAAGAAUGGAGAAGGAGGGGAGCUUAGUACAUUAAUAAUUUCAAUCCCAUGAACUAAUUUCUAUGAUAAGCAUUUUAAGAAGAAACUGCUUUUCGCCAGGCAGAGGGUUAUUAAGAGUGAACCUUCUAAUUGUUAAUUUAUCUAAUUGUUAAUUCUACAAAAAAAAUUUAAAGAAUUAUAGAGAUUGUGUCUGCGGGCAAUAACAUUUCCUUCUAGAUUACCUCAGAAUUAUGUUAGUUGAUGUGUUGUUAACUGUUGUUAGUUUUAUGUUUGUAAUUAAUGAAUGGGUGAACUGCAAAGCUUGGUUUCCAUACAGUCGCUCACCCUAAGAAUCAGGGGGCAUUGCUAGUUUCCCCAGCGCAAUCGGGGAAGGCACCCCGAAUCGUUUGCAACACAAUCGGCAAAGUUGAACCAGCUUCAACCCUCCUGACAACUUUCGGCGACUGUCGCGAAGGUAGGAUGAGCAAUUGUAUUAUAACCGAGCCUCAGACUACUUGGGAAUAUGGCUAGAGGAGGGGUUACCUUGUAAAUGUCUCACAUCACAUUCCAGAUCUGAUAUUACCUAAGAUUUUAUGUUUUUUGUGGAUGGGGUAAAUUUUCUGUACAUUGACAUAAUUAUGUUUUUAGAAAGUGUUUUGCUAAUGCAUGAAGCUAAAAACGUUGCUGGGAGGUGUACCUUAUAUAUUAUCAUUUUCAUCAUCAUCAUCAUCAUGCUGUUCUGAAUCACUUCAAUUGUAACUAUGAAGAGAGGAGCAGGUACCCCCGAAAAGUUUUGGGUUUUUUAAAGAAUAAAGUCUAUGCUUAAAAUAUA